This 71-nucleotide transfer RNA is filed under the name Euryarchaeota archaeon RBG_16_68_13. Its description in RNAcentral is "tRNA-Val". Lineage: Archaea; Methanobacteriati; Methanobacteriota. The record is from RNAcentral.
GGCACCGUCGUCUAGCAGCAGGACAGGCCCCUUACAAGGAUCAGGUCCCCGUGCAACUCGGGGCGGUGCCA